This 312-nucleotide ribosomal RNA is filed under the name uncultured bacterium. RNAcentral's name for it is "bacterial SSU rRNA". It matches the Rfam family "Bacterial small subunit ribosomal RNA", at positions 495 to 793 of the family's 1533-position model. The record is from RNAcentral.
GGCUAACUCCGUGCCAGCAGCCGCGGUAAUACGGAGGGUGCGAGCGUUAAUCGGAAUUACUGGGCGUAAAGCGCAUGCAGGCGGCCUGUUAAGUCAGAUGUGAAAGACCCGGGGCGUUAACCUUCCGGAAUUGCAUUUGUAAACUAGGCAGGCUAGAGUCUUGUAGAGGGGGGUAGGAAGUUUACUAGGUGUAGCGGUGAAAUAGCGUAGAGAUCUGAAGGAAUACCAGUGGCGAAGGCGGCCCCCCUCGGACAAAGACUGACGCUCAGAUGCGAAAGCGUGGGGAGCAAACAGGAUUAGAUACCCUGGUAG